UAGGGUUGAGGCAGGGCUGGGUGAUAUGGGAAACAGUUUAUCACAAUAUAUAUUUUUCACAUCUGUCAAUAUCGAUAUAUGUCACAAUAUAAUAGAAUCCAUGGUCAAUCUUACAUGUUCCCUGUUACUCUUGGGCAUAACUGGACACGAUUUGCAGUGCACAUUACUCUACUUCAUGUCCGAUGUCAAAAAACCCCAAAUACCUCCAUACCACCGACGUUUUCGUGCCAGUGUUGUCGAUGAUGUCAUCAUCAGUUGACCAUUCAUCUACAUUUCUACUGGGGGUAGCACGCAUUUUCUUUUUUUCUGCUACUACGCAGUUGUUUGCUACUUGGUUCUGAUUCAGCACAUGGUUGGUUUAGCGUGAAGUAGACCCGGAGCAACUCCCCUUUUCAUUGGCUAUUCAUAUAGUUUACCAAAACAUGGCAGAAUGCCGACUAUUGAAAAGCAUAUUGACCAUAUUUAAUAUUGAUAUCAAGGGAAAUUAAUUUCCGAUAUAUAUCAUUAUUGUUUUAUCCACCAGUCCUAGGUUGAGGUCAUUCUUUUUAAUCCUCAAGACCUCCACAUUGAGUACUGAUUAAGAUCACCAUCUACCUUAGCACGAAAAACCGAUGGGUCAUCAUAUCAUAAUUAUUUAUUAUAAUAAUCAUAAUGAGUUAAACAACACUAACUUAAUGCAAUAAAACAAGUCCUAAUAAAUUGAACAAUUGGACAAGGCACUAGCAUGAGAAGCAUGCUGCAGGUUCAGACUUUUCAAGAACUGAAAUGAAUAAAACACAAAUACAAGCACAACACUGUAGCACUCAGAAGGCGUCUAGACCAAACAAUGAUUGAGGACAUGAGGUCUUGGCUGAACAAAUCCUGGAGAGUGCUUCCUUUCUAAUCUGGCUCUUGACCAUUUUAAUCCUGCGUUCUCCAUUCACACGUACAGCACAUACAGUCAGAAAGCUGUGGAUAUCGUCAGAGAGUGGCGGUAAAGGCAUUUCCAUGUGAAUGAGCGUCUGGCCUUUAGGUAGAGACGUCCUGAAUGUGUUUGAAGUUUUCAGCUCUCCUUGGCUGUCAGUUACAGGAGAAAGGCCUCUCAGUGACUAAUCCAGUUUACUUUGUGCCUGUCUGUGGAGGAGAGAAUCUGGCAUGACACCAAACGCCACUCAAUGGAUGCUUUUCCAAACAAAGGCAGCAAAAAUGGCUCCUCGUUUCCUGCUUGACAAGUGCAUUGAAUCCUCCUCGUCUUUCAUAUAUUUGUGGAGAGCAUGGUUUGAAUCUGACCCUGUUGCCAUGGUUGCAGCUCCUGUAUGGGGCUGGACAUGUGUUUACUGUAUGCAUUAUGGUAUGCAGAGAAAAAAGAGGGCGGGCUGGAGAGCUGGUGCCACAUUCAAGUGUGUGAGACUUUGUGUGUUUUUUAAGCUGGGCAGUUGUCUGCUGCUCGUCUUAGGGAAAUACUGAGAAUAGGAGGCUGUAUGGAGGGAUGGCCAUCAACAACUCAAACCCUAAUUGGACGGGACGUUUCAUGGACGCAAAGUAGCCGCUGGCUUGUGGUCGGACCACAUUUGUGUGUUUCUGCUAACAGGGAUUCUGCCUUUUGUAGAGCUGAGUGAAUGUAAGUGCCAGGGGCAAAACUGUCCUUGAAUAUGGAGGCAACAAAUGCCCUGGAUGAUUCUGGAAUUCAGAGAUUAUACAUCGUCAUAAUGAAGGUUAGCAUCAUGUACAAUAAAGGUCAUCUGUUGUGGGAGCACAUAGUUGAGGACAAACGUUUCUGCUCAGGGAAGUAAACAGAGCUAGAUUGAAGAAACAUGGGCUGGCACUAUGAGAAAUACUCAUCCCAGAUGACUGCAUCAACAAAAAGAAAAGUAAAUAAGAUUAAAUAAAAAUAAAACUAUCAACAAAGUAAAACAUUCAGUGAGAGCAGUCAAUGUGAAACAGCUUUAGUUUCCAAGAAGGCAAAGAAACCUAAUAGAAAAAUGUUUGCAAUAAAAAUGGAAUAAUUACUUGCUGUUUUGCAAAGCAUGAGCAUUUUUUCAGAACUGCAUAACAUUUCCUGAAACUGUAUGCAACUGCAUGAGGAUGACCUGGCCUGCUUACUUUUGUGCUUUUUGGGUGUUCUCAUUUUAUGCCACUGACCGCUUGUGCAGACUUCAUCUGGAUGUGACAGUUUUCAUGACAUCAGCACUGUGAUUCUCGGGGAAAAAGGCAGGCUAAUGGCACCCCUUGCUCUACCCUCCUCCUUUAAUAGUCCCACGGCGAUGCAGAAUUGAGGGGUCAGUAACAAAUUGACAAGUCUUAUUUUGUUGAGGUUCCCUGAAGCCAAGAUGACUUGGAGGGAAAGAGGAGAUAAAUUGAAAACACCAGAGUUACAUGGCAGAGUUUUAAAGAACAUGCUUCUCUGUUGAGCGUUUCAGCUUUGGCAAAUUACAGUCGAUUUGGCUCAAACACAUCUUGCAGUUAAGGCCUUGGUAGUUACAAUUCUGCAAACAGCAGCAUUUUGUUAGGUUGGCUCUUUGUUGAAGCUGGAGUUUGUUCUGCUCUGAGGCGAUUCACUCUGCAAAACCUGCACAGUCAAAUGAGAAAGGAUGCCGUCUUUGUAAUGUAAAUUUCUUAUGGGCUCUGAAGGCUUAAUGGGCUGUAUGUCUGGCACAUCAGGAACAAAUCUGUUGGCUUUGGCACACGCACAUAACUUUAUUUAAACGCCUCACAGAGACACAGCAAACAGUAAUGUUGUGGUUUCUCAGUUUCUCAAUGUAAACUUAGAAACAAGCUGUGGAUCGAAGCCAGGCCUGGAGCAAAGGAAGGAUUGGAUCCUCAGAGUGUUGGGAUAGAGCAGAGGUCAUGACCCCAGCAGAUUGAACAGCCAGUAUCAGCGGGAGUCCUCCGCACAGCUCCCAGUCUGGCCAAAACUCAUAGUCUGGAAGGUGGGACGCAGACAGCACUUUCUCUUCAAACUACAACAGUUGACGGAGUGUUUGGGCUUCCAUAGCCAACAUAAUCCUGCACCAGACAGAGAAAGCCUGUUUCUGGAUAGGUGUUUGCAGCCCGAUUGUCCUGCCAAAAGAACUUGAAGGUUUACGCUGCUUUGGUGUGUUGGGUGAUUUGAAUCAGGGGCUAAUGACUGUCGCCAUGGUUAAAUAUUAACAAAAGCCAACACUUCAAUGUUGUUCAAGCUGAGGUUACUCAUCUGUGUGUCUAAUUUUAACUACACUACACGAAACUCAUUCUCGUUUCAAUAAAUGCUGAGAAGCAACACUUAGCUGUGAAUAGCACGUACCAGAAUGAAUGUGGGGCAAACUGGACCAUUAAUUCCUGCUGCACUUUAAACUAAGAGGAAACUUGUGAAUGGAAAUCUUCAACAACAAAAGACCUACAGUCAGUGUUGGGGGAGUUUCUUACUGAAUGUUUCCAAUUGUUCAACAAAUAUCUUGUAAAUAGGCAUUUAACAUGAUUUGUUUGGACUCAUCAAUUGUGAAUCCCAUUCAAUUGAUGAUUUGCUACUUAAAAAAGUCUGAAUUGGCUUUUCACAACUCUAGACCCAAGGAUCAAGCUGGUAGACUGAAGUAAUGGUGCAUUUUCACCAGGGUAUAAUGUACAAUUAUGUGCACUGCCAUUGUUAGAAGUUAAGAAAGGUACCCAAAUAAACAUCCCCACUCCGUUCCUGUAGAGUAGCAUAUCAAUCUGACUCAAACUACAAUGACUGUUAUCCUUGGUGAAAACAGACCAUAUAAGGGCAUUUACACAGAGGCUUCAUAUUAAUAUAAUAUAUUAAUGACUUAUAUAUUAAGUCAUUCUGUCUCUCAAACCUCUUUCCCUGCUUUUACUGGGUGGCAGUGUGAUGCUAAUUUCUGACCACCAACAGUUAGCUCAGCUAGCUUAGACUGCUCAAAGCCUUCAGUCUUAAAGGACUAAGUCGAAUAGUCCCAAGUAGUGGCUUAACACUGGUGUUGGCAACAGGACACUUUUAUUAGGACAUGUUUCUCCUGGUUGUAAGCCAGCUGCCCUCUGGUUCAUAGAGCCCUUAACGGAAGGCUAGCAUGUCCUGACAAGUUAUCGUGCUGUAUGCAUCUAGAGUAAAAGGUUUUCAACAAUCACAUUAUAUUCAAAGUAAGACAGAAAACAGGCUCUUCAAAUGUGAUGUACUUCAGAACCAGAAUUACUUAAUCAAUUGCCAUGCUUUUCUUGAAUUUCUUGAGUUUAGGUUGGUUUAAGGCCCCUUUACUGUCAGUGGAUUCAAUAAUUUGGGGAUCAUUUUUGGGGAUUUGGCCCUAGUGACCAACUGCUACAGGGUCGUAGGACUUGCAUGUGAGACUCAUCUCUAGAGUAAUGCUAAUAACUUGGAUUUGUACAUAGAUGUAAAGAUGUUGAUGCCAUCUCUGGGAAGUUUGAAUGCUGAAGGGAAAAUGUUUGUAUUAUAAAAUACUUGAUGUGAACACAUCUAUGUCAAACAUCUCAGUAUAAAUCUCACAUAAAUGUCAAUCUGAA
This is a non-coding RNA of Xyrichtys novacula (pearly razorfish), 4470 nucleotides long. The record is from the annotation of a GenBank genome assembly. Lineage: Eukaryota; Metazoa; Chordata; Actinopteri; Labriformes; Labridae.